GCAAACUUGGUCAUUUAGAGGAAGUAAAAGUCGUAACAAGGUUUCCGUAGGUGAACCUGCGGAAGGAUCAUUACUGAGGAGGGUCCAUGGCCCGAUCUCCAACCCUUUGAUAAAAACACCAUGUUGCUUUGGCAGGCCCGCCCGUUGGGGCCGCGGGGGAUCGCCGGUCCCUAGCCCGUGCCUGCCGGUAGCCUUCACAAAACUCUCAAAAUGUUGUCUGAGAUGAUUAGAAUAAUAAAACUUUCAACAACGGAUCUCUUGGCUCUGGCAUCGAUGAAGAACGCAGC
RNAcentral lists this unclassified non-coding RNA (287 nucleotides) under uncultured fungus. RNAcentral describes it as "partial contains small subunit ribosomal RNA, internal transcribed spacer 1, and 5.8S ribosomal RNA". The stretch from base 1 to 73 matches the Rfam family "Eukaryotic small subunit ribosomal RNA", at positions 1759 to 1831 of the family's 1831-position model. The record is from RNAcentral. Lineage: Eukaryota; Fungi.